GAUGAACGCUGGCGGCGUGCCUAAUACAUGCAAGUCGUACGGAAAGGCCCUUCGGGGUACUCGAGUGGCGGACGGCUGAGUAAUGCAUAGGAACAUACCCCAAAGUGAGGAAUAACUGCCCGAAAGGGUGGCUAAUACCGCAUGUGAUCUUCGGAUUAAAGCUUCGGCGCUUUGGGAAUGGCCUAUGUCCGAUUAGCUAGUUGGUGAGGUAAUAGCUCACCAAGGCGACGAUCGGUAGCUGGCCUGAGAGGAUGAUCAGCCAGACUGGGACUGAGACACGGCCCAGACUCCUACGGGAGGCAGCAGUAGGGAAUUUUCCACAAUGGGGGCAACCCUGAUGGAGCAACGCCGCGUGCAGGAUGAAGGCC
RNAcentral lists this ribosomal RNA (368 nucleotides) under uncultured bacterium. RNAcentral describes it as "bacterial SSU rRNA". It matches the Rfam family "Bacterial small subunit ribosomal RNA", at positions 28 to 416 of the family's 1533-position model. The record is from RNAcentral.